CUCUUUCAUCGAUGACAGCUCGUUCAAGUGCCCGGGAACGUCAAAGGUCAUCUCUAGAGAAGAUGCGUGCGACACCUACAACGAAUGCCCUAAACCACCCGCCCACGCCAACAGCCCAGAUGAAAGCAACAGUCUUUGCGCUCCAUAUCACAUAAAGUCGAGGCAGAUGAACCUGCAGUACUGGAAUCUCACGAGAAGGUCAAUUACGCUCAGCUGGCCAGCACAACAGGGCGACUCCAGCAUACCCCUGGAAACUUGCCGGCUAUGUCGUCACUUACUGGACCGACACCAGCGAAACGGGCCGUCACCUGCUGCCACCGGAACGGACAAGCAUUAAGUAUGAGAAGCUGCCUCUACGAACAACGUUCAGGUUAUUGUGAGGCCCUUCUACACGCCAGACGGGCGGUCCAUGGGAGAGAGAAGGUACCAGAGGGUCAGCGCCUUGUGGCACACUGUUGUUCUUGACGAUGACGACUACCCAGACGACAAGCCUUUCCCCUGCACGACUAUAAACAAAGUCAUAGCCAGCGAGAACCUCUGCGACACAUACAUGGAUUGCGGUAGUAACCAAGGCUCGCCGGACGAGGGCCAUGCU
Molecule: long non-coding RNA, 595 nt
Organism: Rhipicephalus sanguineus (brown dog tick)
Lineage: Eukaryota; Metazoa; Arthropoda; Arachnida; Ixodida; Ixodidae
Exons: 3
Source: RefSeq, a predicted model, not a curated record